GCCGCCUCCUCUUCUUCCUCCUCCUCCUGGGCCGGGCUGAUCCCCUCCCCGCUGCCGCCUCCUCCUGGGCUGGGCCCGCGGUGUCUCGUCCCCUCGCGGAGCCGCUCCUGCCGCCGCCGCCGCGGACCGCAGCUGAAUGCACAGCUAGAAGGUUGGCUUUCACAAGUACAGUCUACAAAAAGACCUGCUAGAGCCAUUAUUGCCCCCCAUGCAGGAUAUACGUACUGUGGGUCUUGUGCCGCCCAUGCUUAUAAACAAGUGGAUCCGUCUAUUACCCGGAGAAUUUUCAUCCUUGGGCCUUCUCAUCAUGUGCCCCUCUCUCGAUGUGCACUUUCCAGUGUGGAUAUAUAUAGGACACCUCUGUAUGACCUUCGUAUUGACCAAAAGAUUUACGGAGAACUAUGGAAGACAGGAAUGUUUGAACGCAUGUCUCUGCAGACAGAUGAAGAUGAACACAGUAUUGAAAUGCAUUUGCCUUAUACAGCUAAAGCCAUGGAAAGAUGCAGAUUCUGCCCAAGAAGCCCCUGCAUUGCAGAGGGACUGGAGAUCUGUAUGAUCUGUUUAUUUCGCAAUUGACAGGCCAUAAGGAUGAGUUUACCAUUAUUCCUGUACUGGUUGGAGCUCUGAGUGAGUCAAAAGAACAGGAAUUCGGAAAACUCUUC
Molecule: small RNA, 662 nt
Filed under: Pongo abelii (Sumatran orangutan)
Lineage: Eukaryota; Metazoa; Chordata; Mammalia; Primates; Hominidae
Description: processed transcript
Source: RNAcentral